This 498-nucleotide ribosomal RNA is filed under the name uncultured bacterium. RNAcentral describes it as "partial 16S ribosomal RNA". It matches the Rfam family "Bacterial small subunit ribosomal RNA", at positions 30 to 523 of the family's 1533-position model. The record is from RNAcentral.
AUUGAACGCUGGCGGCAUGCCUUACACAUGCAAGUCGAACGGUAACAGGUCUUCGGAUGCUGACGAGUGGCGAACGGGUGAGUAAUACAUCGGAACGUGCCUAGUAGUGGGGGAUAACUACUCGAAAGAGUGGCUAAUACCGCAUGAGAUCUACGGAUGAAAGCAAGGGAUCGCAAGACCUUGUGCUACUAGAGCGGCCGAUGGCAGAUUAGGUAGUUGGUGGGAUAAAAGCUUACCAAGCCGACGAUCUGUAGCUGGUCUGAGAGGACGAUCAGCCACACUGGGACUGAGACACGGCCCAGACUCCUACGGGAGGCAGCAGUGGGGAAUUUUGGACAAUGGGCGCAAGCCUGAUCCAGCAAUGCCGCGUGCAGGAUGAAGGCCUUCGGGUUGUAAACUGCUUUUGUACGGAGCGAAAAGGCUCUCUCUAAUACAGGGGGCUCAUGACGGUACCGUAAGAAUAAGCACCGGCUAACUACGUGCCAGCAGCCGCGGUAA